GAUGAACGCUGGCGGCGUGCCUAAUACAUGCAAGUCGAGCGAACAGACGAGGAGCUUGCUCCUCUGACGUUAGCGGCGGACGGGUGAGUAACACGUGGAUAACCUACCUAUAAGACUGGGAUAACUUCGGGAAACCGGAGCUAAUACCGGAUAAUAUAUUGAACCGCAUGGUUCAAUAGUGAAAGACGGUUUUGCUGUCACUUAUAGAUGGAUCCGCGCCGCAUUAGCUAGUUGGUAAGGUAACGGCUUACCAAGGCAACGAUGCGUAGCCGACCUGAGAGGGUGAUCGGGCGAGCUAGAACUGAGACACGGUCCAGAGUCCGACAGGAGGCAGCAGUAGGGGAGCGUCCGCAGUGGGCGGAAGCCUGACGGAGCAACGCCGCGUGAGUGAUGAAGGUCUUCGGAUCGUAAAACUCUGUUAUUAGGGAAGAACAAAUGUGUAAGGAACUAUGCACGUCUUGACGGUACCUAAUCAGAAAGCCACGGCUAACUACGUG
This 497-nucleotide ribosomal RNA is filed under the name uncultured bacterium. Its description in RNAcentral is "partial 16S ribosomal RNA". It matches the Rfam family "Bacterial small subunit ribosomal RNA", at positions 28 to 507 of the family's 1533-position model. The record is from RNAcentral.